Non-coding RNA from Dermacentor albipictus, 851 nucleotides. Lineage: Eukaryota; Metazoa; Arthropoda; Arachnida; Ixodida; Ixodidae. The record is from RefSeq and is a predicted model, not a curated record.
GUGGUGCCGCACUCGUCUGCUCUGAGAAAAUAUGUCGGCCUAUUCGGGUCUCGCAGGCGCGUUUCAAUGCUUGUCGGCUUGAACUUCACCAGGACGCCGACUCAUUCCUUGUCUCCUAGCACGUGAUGGCCUCCGAAAAGCCUGUGUGUCAUGUUAUAGUUGCGUGUUUGUAACUGCCUGGGAGUUACAGCGGGGACUGUUGGUUGAACGGCGUUACCUCUGCUGCGACACAUGAUACGCGGCGGGCGAGGGCAAGGACUUCACGAAAAUGUUUCGUCUCGAGUCAUCAUAACGUCGAGGAAAUGAUGGACACUUUGGUGGCGAGAUCCAGAUCCCCGAGCUUCUUACUUUGUAAGACAAGCCUUCGACUACACUUGCCUACCCCCUGCUGACCGGUAGUUUCUUGUCUCAUUGGGGAUUGCAAGGGCCCCAGCCACUUCGAUUUUGCGAGUUUUGUACCAUGCCAGCUCUGGUGCGCGCGAGAGUUCUGGUUGGUCUUGCUUCAGAAAUACGUGCGUGCACUAAAGCACAGGCCGAGACCGAUCCCAGCCGCACCUGCUCACAUGGACCAAGAUUCAAUUGCAGCGGUGAUCGUGAGCAAAGGUGAGGCAGUCCGCGACUGCAGGCCCUGACUGGCCCGCCUAAAUUCAGCCACAACGACCACCGUCAAUGGUGGUUUGUGGUGGAGCUGGCCGUGCCUCUUAACUGCGCUCUUCUUUGUGGGAAAUGACUGGAACGAGGUGCAGUCUUUUGUUGGGAAGCUGUUCGGAUGACUUCGCCUUCCUGUCGUUUCGGAAUAUGGAUGAAGAUGUCUGCCUCAUUUACAGCGCUGGCCCACGUGGAUGCAUUAA